RNAcentral lists this unclassified non-coding RNA (2360 nucleotides) under Hevea brasiliensis (rubber tree). The record is from RNAcentral. Lineage: Eukaryota; Viridiplantae; Streptophyta; Magnoliopsida; Malpighiales; Euphorbiaceae.
GAGCAGCCGCUCCGAGUUCGUGGCGUUGGCGGACAGCGAAAAAGAAGAGCAGAAGAGAAAUGGCGCUGUGGCUGGAAACUGGGUCUGAACCCAAAACGGAAAGCGAGAUUGCUGACCUUCAAGCUAUCGCCGCCAUUAAAGAGUCUGCUGCUCUUGAACUUAAGGAGCAAGGUAAUAAGUAUGUCAAGAUGGGUAAAAAGCAUUAUUCUGAUGCUAUUGAUUGUUACACAAGGGCAAUAAAUCAGAAAGUUUUAAGUGACUCUGAAAAUUCGAUUAUUUAUUCAAAUAGAGCGCAUGUGAAUCUAUUGCUAGGCAAUUAUAGACGUGCUCUUACAGAUGCUGAGGAGGCAAUUAAACUGUGUGCAACUAAUAUCAAGGCACUAUAUCGAGCUUCCAAAGCAUCUUUGUCCUUGAAUAUGUUGGAUGAGGCAAAAUCUUAUUGUGAAAAUGGACUAAAGCAAGAUCCAAAUAAUGAAGAACUUAAAAAACUUGCUAAGCAGAUAAAUUCAUUGAAGAUGGAACAUGAUAAGCAUGAAGCUGAAGUUUCCAAGGCUGUAUCAGAUGCUAAGGACCUUCUUUCUGCAAUUGAAGCUAGAGGCUUGAAGAUUGGGAAGGCUAUGUUUCAAGAGCUUAUUGGAUUAAGGAAACCAAUAAUCGAUAAAAAUAAAAUUAUUCACUGGCCAGUUCUUCUUCUAUAUGCGGAGGUUAUGUCCAGUGACUUUAUUGAAGACUUCUGUGAAACGGACAUGUUUUCAACUCAUCUUGACAUGAUGUUUUCAGAAGGCUGUCCACCAUUACCGUGGGAUACAGAAAACAAUUAUACUCGUGAAGCUGUUGAACUCUACUAUGAGGUAAGCUUUGAUAUAUUUUCCUUAUUUGGUUGGCUUUUGUUUCUAAAUAUGUAAUCUAUAAAAUUUAGAAAAGAGCACUCUGAACUCUGAAGGGUAUAUUGUGUCAACAUAAAUGCAAACAAGUUCCCUUGAUUUCUCGGUAAGUUACCCAAAAGUGUAGUCAAGUUACCUAGAAUAUUGUUAAUUUACCUUCAUGUUUGGUAAGUUACUACAAUACCUAUUGUGUUGUCAUUGCCAAGCAGCAGUUUGUACCAUUAUCUCUUUUAUAUUUCCUCUUCAUUUCUAACUCCCUUGUUCUUGAUUAAUCAGGCUGGUUCUACAAUAUGUCUAUCCAAGUCGAAAAUUCUUCAUUGUUUACUAGAAGGGACUGCAGGUGCUAAUGCAGCAAGUGUUGGAGAAGAGAAGGAAGCAUUUGAGGAUUCUACUGAUGGCAACUCUACUGGUAGUAUGUUUUCUAAUAUCCUCCAUGUCAAGCAACUUUUAUCACUUUUUUUAUUUAUUUUAAAUUAUCUUUUUUAUCACUUAUACUCUGGCAAUCCAUGUUGGAGAAUGAAAUACAUCUUGUUCUUUUCUCUUCUCUUCUUUUUUUUUUCCCCAAGUCAUAGCUAUUUAUUUUGCUGCUGGCCUUUGCUUCUGAAGUUCUACUCUGCCUCUAUACAUAAGAUUUGGGACAGCUGAUUAUAUUUUUAUUCUCUCUCACUCUCUCCCUCUCUUUGUUAUGAUUAUUAUAGUUACUAAUUAGUUUUGGUAUGCUAUGAGCUAAUCACUUCUGGUAAGCUAAAAAAUUGAGAUCUUGGGCGUGCUAACAGAAUGUAUUACAUGCUUAUUAACCUGAACUCCCUGUAUGUAUAUUCUUAGGCACUGGCUCUUCAAAAUGGGUAAAAGUAAAUGAAAAGAGAACACUUCAUGAAGUUCUGAAGGAACGCGACUUUGUUAUCCCAGGAAUUCCAGGUCUGCAUUCAGUUCCUUGGUAAAGUUUUUAUGCAGGUGUAAAAUUCUUUUAUAUGCCUUAUUGGAAAAUUCUUUUAUAUGCCUUAUUGGUUGUUUUUCUUUUACAAAUUGGCACAUAUGCAGUUUUUUAUGUCGUUUCUAAAACCUCCAACUUCUAUAAAAAGUUCAAAGCUGGUAAAUGGGCUCUUCCACCAUGAGAAGGUUGUGUUCAAUAGCGUAAGUAGUGCAGCUUGGCUCUCUUCCAGGCAAGCUUUCUUGACAGCACCUGAAUGCAUAGAAACCAAAUGUUAAGUACCUGAAGCACCCGUGUGCAUCUGUUGGGAAGGAAAAGCAAAUUUAUUAAAGGAACUUUUUUCUUUUUAAUUUUUUAUUAUGAUCCACUGUUUUUGUGUUACAAAAAAAAAGGAAAAUUCUAUAUUUUUUGGGUUUAUGUAGUUGAUUCAGUUUCCUUCUCUAUUGUUUAUACGAAGAGAGUUUAAAGAGUAGGAUUAUCAUAUGUUAGCACUUUGUACCGUAAAUUCAAUGUUGCAUACUCAACUCAAUUUAACUAAGCCUUUA